RNAcentral lists this ribosomal RNA (497 nucleotides) under uncultured bacterium. RNAcentral describes it as "partial 16S ribosomal RNA". It matches the Rfam family "Bacterial small subunit ribosomal RNA", at positions 28 to 507 of the family's 1533-position model. The record is from RNAcentral.
GAUGAACGCUGGCGGCGUGCCUAAUACAUGCAAGUCGAGCGAACAGACGAGUAGCUUUCCCCUCUGACGUUAGCGCCGGACGGUUGCGUAACACGUGGAUAACCUACCUAUAAGACUGGGAUAACUUCGGGUAACCGGAGCUAAUACCGGAUAAUAUAUUGAACCGCAUGGUUCAAUAGUGAAAGACUGUUUUGCUGUCCCUUAUAUAUGGAUCCGCGCCGCAUUAGCUAGUUGGUAAGGUAACGGCUUACCAAGGCAACGAUGCGUAGCUUACCUGAGAGGGUGAUCGGCCACACUGGAACUGAGACACGGUCCAGACUCCUACGGGAGGCAGCAGUAGGGAAUCUUCCGAAAUGGGCGAAAGCCUGACGGAGCAACGCCGCGUGAGUGAUGAAGGUCUUCGGAUCGUAAAACUCUGUUAUUAGGGAAGAACAAAUGUGUAAGUAACUAUGCACGUCUUGACGGUACCUAAUCAGAAAGCCACGGCUAACUACGUG